This 183-nucleotide small RNA is filed under the name Streptomyces agglomeratus. Its description in RNAcentral is "c-di-AMP sequence". It matches the Rfam family "c-di-AMP riboswitch aptamer (ydaO/yuaA leader)". Rfam says of the family: This family represents a conserved RNA structure found upstream of the ydaO and yuaA genes in Bacillus subtilis and related genes in other bacteria. The ydaO/yuaA element is thought to act as a genetic "off" switch for the ydaO and yuaA genes in its native state. It is believed that the element may be triggered during osmotic shock leading to activation of ydaO, a predicted amino acid transporter gene, and members of the yuaA-yubG operon which code for KtrA and KtrB K+ transporters. Lineage: Bacteria; Bacillati; Actinomycetota; Actinomycetes; Kitasatosporales; Streptomycetaceae. The record is from RNAcentral.
CGAGUCCUGCCGCCGUCCCGGAUGACUGGUCGACAGGAGUGCAUCGGCAGGAGUGGAGGACCCAAGCAGUACGGGGUGACCGGAGACGGUCGUCCCUCGGGGUGAAGCCGCAGCACGCGGCCGGGCAUCUUCGCCUGUCCGAACCCGACAGGUCAUCCUUCACAGGCGGCUGACGAAGGGUUG